UGGAAAGUUCAUUGUUCGACACCAUGGAUCUCCAGGUGGGUCACGUUUUCAGAUACACCAACCUGGAGGACUCCAUGCUGUUGAGCUGUUCACAA
Molecule: non-coding RNA, 95 nt
Organism: Myotis lucifugus (little brown bat)
Lineage: Eukaryota; Metazoa; Chordata; Mammalia; Chiroptera; Vespertilionidae
Source: Rfam